This 60-nucleotide transfer RNA is filed under the name Amborella trichopoda. It matches the Rfam family "tRNA", at positions 7 to 64 of the family's 71-position model. From Rfam's summary of the family: Transfer RNA (tRNA) molecules are approximately 80 nucleotides in length. Lineage: Eukaryota; Viridiplantae; Streptophyta; Magnoliopsida; Amborellales; Amborellaceae. The record is from Rfam by way of RNAcentral.
GUGGCCUAAUGGAUUAGGCGUCUGACCUCUAAUCAGGCGAUCGUGGGUUCGAAUCCUACC